CCUACGGGAGGCAGCAGUGAGGAAUAUUGGUCAAUGGGCGGAAGCCUGAACCAGCCAAGUCGCGUGAGGGAAUAAGGCCCUACGGGUCGUAAACCUCUUUUGCCGGGGAGCAAGGGCGGGGACGUGUCCCGGCCCGGAGAGUACCCGGAGAAAAAGCAUCGGCGAACUCCGUGCCAGCAGCGGCGGUAAUACGGAGGAUGCGAGUGUUAUCAGGAUUUAUUGGGUUCAAAGGGUGCGUAGGCGGGCUUUUACGUAAGCGGGAAAAAUUCGGGGCUCAACCCCGUCCGGCCGUUGAAACUGGAGGCCUUGAGUGGGCGAGAAGAAGGCGGAAUGCGUGGUGUAGCGGUGAAAUGCAUAGAUAUCACGCAGAACCCCGAUUGCGAAGGCAGCCUUCCGGCGCCCUACUGACGCUGAGGCACGAAAGUGCGGGGAUCGAACAGGAUUAGAUACCCUUGUAGUC
This 460-nucleotide ribosomal RNA is filed under the name uncultured bacterium. RNAcentral's name for it is "partial 16S ribosomal RNA". It matches the Rfam family "Bacterial small subunit ribosomal RNA", at positions 338 to 795 of the family's 1533-position model. The record is from RNAcentral.